UUGUGAGGUAGAGGCGCGAUAUUUAACAGUUUUUAGUGGAGCUUGAGGUGCAUUGAUACUAGGAAGAAGGAAAUAUUGCCGAAGCAAAUAAUACUCUCACUAUUAUUUGCUGGGUCUACAGUUAAGAACUGUAGGACUGUCUUAAUAAACUACCCUGUUUAUUAAGGUGUGCUAUCUCCAUU
RNAcentral lists this non-coding RNA (182 nucleotides) under Clostridium grantii. Its description in RNAcentral is "Lysine sequence". It matches the Rfam family "Lysine riboswitch aptamer". From Rfam's summary of the family: Riboswitches are metabolite binding domains within certain messenger RNAs that serve as precision sensors for their corresponding targets. Allosteric rearrangement of mRNA structure is mediated by ligand binding, and this results in modulation of gene expression. This family includes riboswitches that sense lysine in a number of genes involved in lysine metabolism, including lysC. Lineage: Bacteria; Bacillati; Bacillota; Clostridia; Eubacteriales; Clostridiaceae. RNAcentral also lists the same sequence under 1 other name. The record is from RNAcentral.